CCCAUGGCGUAGUGGUCACUGCGCUCGCCUUGCACGCGGGAGACCCGGGUUCGAUUCCCGACGGG
RNAcentral lists this transfer RNA (65 nucleotides) under Diaphorina citri (Asian citrus psyllid). It matches the Rfam family "tRNA". From Rfam's summary of the family: Transfer RNA (tRNA) molecules are approximately 80 nucleotides in length. Their secondary structure includes four short double-helical elements and three loops (D, anti-codon, and T loops). Further hydrogen bonds mediate the characteristic L-shaped molecular structure. tRNAs have two regions of fundamental functional importance: the anti-codon, which is responsible for specific mRNA codon recognition, and the 3' end, to which the tRNAs corresponding amino acid is attached (by aminoacyl-tRNA synthetases). tRNAs cope with the degeneracy of the genetic code in two manners: having more than one tRNA (with a specific anti-codon) for a particular amino acid; and 'wobble' base-pairing, i.e. permitting non-standard base-pairing at the 3rd anti-codon position. Lineage: Eukaryota; Metazoa; Arthropoda; Insecta; Hemiptera; Psyllidae. The record is from Rfam by way of RNAcentral.